This is a long non-coding RNA of Oncorhynchus nerka (sockeye salmon), 5547 nucleotides long. RefSeq lists it as uncharacterized. The transcript is spliced from 2 exons. Lineage: Eukaryota; Metazoa; Chordata; Actinopteri; Salmoniformes; Salmonidae. The record is from RefSeq and is a predicted model, not a curated record.
AUGAUAUGACACACACAAUUUAUUGGUUUCUAUUGCCUCCUACACAUACUUACAUUGUUGUAUUUAGCUUUCUUUGUUUAAGACUAGCAAGCUGUCCUCAAUGGGGGGAUCCUCUGUCCGGAACAAUGUCCACAGGAUUUUGGAGCGUAAGUGUCCGCAAACUCAAGAGGUUAUUGUGUAGCAGGCCCUCUGGAAAGUCUUAAAAUAUGCCCGUGACCACCCUGAUGGAGGAGGAGGCAAAGUAUGUACAAUACCAGUCAAAAGUUUGGACACCUAGUCAUUCAACGGUUUUUAUUUAUUUGUACUAUUGUCUACAUUGUAGAAUAGUAGUGAAGACAUCAACACUAUGAAAUAACACAUAUGGAAUCAUAUAGUAACCAAAAAAGUGUUAAGCAAAUCAAAGUAUAUUUAAUAUUUUAGAUUCUUCAAAGUAGCCACCCUUUGCCUUGAUGACAGCUUUACAUGCGCUUGGCAUUCUCUCAACUAGCUUCAUCUGGAAUGCUUUUCCAACAGUUUGUCUACAUUGUAGAAUAGUAGUGAAGAGAUCAAACCUAUAAAAUAUUCUGAGCAGUUGCUGGCUGCUUUUUCUUCAUUCUGCGGUCCAACUUAUCCCAAAUGGUCUCAAUUGGGUCGAGGUUGGAUGAUUUGUGGAGGCCAGGUCAUCUGAUGCAGAUCUCCCUUCACUUUCCUUGGUCAAAUCGCCCUUAAACAGCCUGGAGGUGUGUUGAGUCAUUGUCCUGUUGAAAAACAAAUGAUUCUUCCACUAAGCGCAAACCAGAUGGAAUGGCGUAUCGCUGCAGAAUGCUGUGGUAGCCAUGCUGGUUAAGUGUGCCUUGAAUUCUAAAUAAAUCACUGACAGUGUCACCAGCAAAGCACCCCCACACCAUCGCACUCCCUCCGUGCUUCACAGUGGGAACCACACAUGCGGAGAUCAUCCGUUCACCUACUCUGUGUAUCACAAAGACAGGUUGGAACCAAAAAUCUCACAUUUGGACUCAUCAGACCAAAGGACAGAUUUCACCUGUAAUGUCCUUUGUCCAUGUUUCUUGGCCCAAGCAAGUCUUCUUAUUGGUGUCCUUUAGUAGUGGUUUCUUUGCAGCAAUUUGACAAUGAAGGCCUGAUUCAUGUCUCCUCUGAACAGUUAAUGUUGAGAUGUGUCUGUUACUUGAACUCUGAAGCAUUUAUUUGGGCUGCAAUUCCUAAGGCUGGUAACUAAUGAACUUAUCCUCUGCAGCAGAGGUAACUCUGGGUCUUCCUUUCCUGUGGCGGUCCUCAUGAGAGCCAGUGUUCAUCAUAGAGCUUGAUGGUUUUUGCGACUGCGCUUGAAGAAACUUUCAAAGUUCUUGACAUUUUCCAAUUUAACUGACCUUCAUGUCUUAAAGUAAUGAUGGACUGUCAUUUCUCUUUGCUUAUUUGAGCUGUUCUUGCCAUAAUAUGGACUUGGUCUUUUACCAUGUCACAGCACAACUGAUUGGCUCAAACAUAUUAAGAAUGAAAGAAAUUCAACAAAUUAACUUUUAACAAGACACACCUGUUAUUUGAAAUGCAUUCCGGUGACUACCUCAUGAACCUGGUUGAGAGAAUGCCAAGAGUGUGCAAAGCUGUCAAGGCAAAGGUUUGCUACUUUGAAGAAUCUCAAAUAUAUAUUUUGUUUUAUUUCGUCGUUUUUAUGUCUUCACUAUUAUUCUACAACGUAGAAAAUAGUACAAAUAAGGAAAAGGCCUGGAAUGAGUGUGUCCCAAAAUGACAGGUACUGUAUAUGAGCAAGUUGCUAUUUGUUGAAGACAUCUCUAAGCUAUAACUGUCACAACAUUUUUCAACUAGUACCAAGGAAAUAGUUUUAGCCAGCUGAGUCCACAAAGUUUCUUCAGUGAUAUCCUUUUCUAGUUUGCUUUUAAAAUCUCAUUAUUGAUUAAUAUGUAAUGUGCUGAUUGUCUUUACUGCAGAUCUGACCCAUCACAUGACUCUUCAAGAGGGCCAUUAGGCUCCAGAUCUCCUUCUGUGUUCAGAGCUCCUUGAUGAGGAUCUACCCCAUCACACCGCUCUGAUUAAUCAUUAAUCAAAUAAAACAAUGGGCCUUUAUAUACUCUGUCCCAGUCUUUCUAUGCAUCUAAUGUCUGAGUGAAUUAUGAAACAAUUACUGUAAAUUGUGAUGUAGAUUUGUUUUUGCCAUUGCUUGAUCUAUUUUAAAUGUAAGAAUAUGUUGCAGAUUAAAUGUAAUUGGUGACUAUGGAACAAAUAUAAACAAAUAUAAAUGUAAUCAGCAAUGUUUUCAAUAUCUGACUUUAUCCUCUGCAAUACUUUUUACAGUACACUCUUAGCACCUUUUUUUCUAUCUAGAACCUAAAAGGGUUAUUCAGCAGUUCCCAUAGGAGAACCCUUUGAAGAACCCUUUUUGGUUUCAGGUGAACCCUUUUUGGUUCUAUGUAGGACACUUCCCACAGGGGGUUCUACAUGAAAACAAAAAGGGUUCUAUGUGAAACCAAAAAGGCUUCUCCCUAGAACCAAGAAGGGUUCUCCUAUGGGGACAGCUGAAGAACUCUUUUUUUUCUAAGAGUGUAUGUAAUAAACUGUAAUCAUAACCUGGUAAUGACCACCUGACGAGGUCUUAACUAUGACCACCAGUAGGCUACAUCAUAUAGCAGCACAUAAUAGUGGUCAGAAUCAUGACCAACUGGUCGUAUGGUGGUCAGAAAAAUACAUAAUAUUCUGGUCAGUAAAAAUACAUAAAACAAAACGUCCUAUUUCAACCGUUUUGCGACCAGAAUAAUACGCCAUAAGACAUCUUGUCAACCAGGUUUGCCCACUGGUUAAGAGCUUUCCACACCUGGAUUGUGAAACAUUUUUUCAUUAUUCAAGCUCUGUCAAAUUGGUCGUUGAUCAUUGCUUGACAACCAUUUUCAGGUCUUGCCAUAGAUUUUCAAGUAGAUUUCAAAAUGGUCAAAAUUGUAAAUCGGCCACUCACUCAACAUUCACUGUAUUCUUGUUAAGAAACUCCAGUGUAGAUUUGUGUUUUAGGUUAUUAUCCUGCUGAAAGGUGAAUUCAUCUCUUAGUGUCUGGUGAAAAGCAGACUGAACCAGAAUUUCCUCUAGGAUUUUGCAUGUGCUAAUCUCCAUUCCGUUACUUUUUUAUUCUGAAAAACUCCACAGUCCUUAACGUUUACAAGCAUACCCAUAACACCACUUAUGCUUGAAAAUACAGAGAGUGGUACUCGGUAAUGUGUUGUAUUAGAUUUGCCCCAAACGUAACACUUUGUUUUCAGGACCAAAAGUGAAUUACUUAGCCAUUUUUUUUACAGUAUUACAGUGGUAUUACAUUCCUUUAAAAGUUGCAGCUUGCUGUGGCGCAGCUUGCAUGUUGCCACAGAAUUCUAUGGCACUUUAAGUGUGAACCACUGGUAAUUAAUGCUAGUGCUAGUUUGACUACCAUAUUUGAGAAGCAUUUGAUAGCCUUCAAUAAUGGCUGUAAUAAAGAAUGCGGGCACACGGGAGACCGGGGUUCAAUUCCCCGAUGAAGAGGAAGGAGUAGGCUGUCCUUGUAAAUAAGAAUGUGUUCUUAACUGAUUCAAUAUGUGCUAUUUCGUAGUUGUGAUGUCUUCACUAUUAUGCUACGAUGUAGAAAAUAGUAAAAAUAAAGAAAAACCCUGGAAUGAGUAGGUGUGUCCAAACUUUUGACUGGUACUUGCUUAAUUAAUUUGCUCUAUAUUAUGGUGUUUCUAUUCCAAGAAAAAUGAAAACCCUCUGGGUUUCCGUUAUGGCGCGGUACAACGUGACGGUCGGGAGUACAGUACUGGGCCAUUUAGCUAAAGAAUCUCUUGUGUCGUGUGGGCAGGGCACACGGAAUACUGGGGUUCAAUUCCCAGACGUGGAGGAAGGAGUAGGCUGUCCUUGUAAAUAAGAAUUUGUUCUUAACUGACUUGCCUAGUUAAAUAAAUGUUACACUAAGAGCAUAACAUUUCCACACCCUAAUUUUCUAAUUCUAGUCUAACCAAUACCCAAACUGAGAUUAAGUGAAAAUAAAAAUCUCAUUUUAUUUAUCAAGACCAUGCUUGUCUCAGAGUAGCGUGAAACGGUGCUAAAUCAUAUUGCUUCUAACUUCAACAUGCUCUUUAAAUAAAUAAGACCUACACCACGUUUAACAGCACAUUACUCAGCACUAGUGAGACUCAUGUCGGCUACGGUAGUCCAACAGUAUGUCUAAAAACGUGACGUGACUCUCCGCCAAUAAUUACAUAUAGAGGAUUGGAGGAUUCUAAAUUAAAACAAAAGCUUGUGCUCAGUGGAUAUUCUGAAAGUAGUUUGAGGGUCGUAGGUCAUAAGACUAAGGAGCUGUUGAAAUUUGAAUCUAUCAUAAAUUAUCGUAAAAUCUCAUGAGAUGCAAAUGGACAAACAAAAAACGUCCAAUGUGUAGGCCCACUGAGUGUACAUUAUGAACCUUGUUUGAGGUGUGUGGGUCACAUGACCAAGACACUAAUGAAUUUCACAAAUUAAAAUAAAUAAUUUAAAAUCGUGUGAGAUGUAUACCAACAAAAAGCUAGAACCAGUUUUGAUCGUUUAAAGAGCUAUUGAAAUUUGAAAAAUGUGAUGUGUCACUAUGUUGAAGGAUUCUAAAUUAAAACCAAAAGCCACCUCAUGGGUCUCCCAGUGGCGGCCGGCACAGGUAUCGAACCUACAUCGGUAGCAACGCAUUUUGCACUGCAAGAGCCCCCAUCCAAAAAGUAUAAAAAUACAGAAAGGUGUUGGUAAAGAUAUAUUGUCCUGCUAAUAGCCCGUAAUGGGCUAUUAUAAUACUGUACAUGGUGUCCAGGUCAGGAUAUCCAAAACAUUUCUUUAUUAAAGACUAUCAGAAAGAAUGUUGCUACUUAUUUAUUUUGAUCCAAAGCCAUGAAUGAGUGAGUCACUCAGCUUUAUGUAGGUGCCGGCUAUAUGACUGAUAAUAUAUAACAAUAUUUUGUUUUCAAAAAAAACAAAACAGAGCAAUUGUAAUCUGAAUAAAUCCCAAAAUAAUAUUUGUAAAGGCCAAAACAUUUAUUUUUGUUUUUAGAGGGAGAGAAACACUGGGCCAAUUGUGCGCGCCCAUAAAGGCCAAAAUAUAGCCCUGCUAAUAGCCAUAAUAGCGCUGUACAACGUGACUGUGUGUUUGAAAGAGUAUUUUCCAGUAAGCAACAAUUUGUUUACCUUCAAUAGACAGCUUUGUUCCAGUAAUUCUGUAAUUCACUGAUAUUUAUUCCCAUAGUAAUUCAUUAUGGAUCCAAAGCUAAAUAAACAUCAGCAUUUUGAAAGAGUAUUUUUAUCAUUAUUUUAUUAACGAAAGCAUAAAGAUGUUGAUGAAGAAAUACUGUACUGCUGUUUUGAGUUAGAAAUGUAACACUUCAGAGUACUUAAGCAUCAAAUACAUUGCAGGUAGGGGGAUGUUCACAACUACAGUAGCCGGGCUAUAAAGAGUCUAUUUUCCUGAUAAUCGGGCUACAAGUGUAUGAAAAACUGUUUUCAAAAUGUCACAAGCUGUUCAUCACUACUGUAAAUAAAAACACAGCAUCUUGUUUA